RNAcentral lists this transfer RNA (66 nucleotides) under Pseudopimelodus schultzi. RNAcentral describes it as "tRNA-Cys". The record is from RNAcentral. Lineage: Eukaryota; Metazoa; Chordata; Actinopteri; Siluriformes; Pseudopimelodidae.
AGCCUUGUGGUGUAUUACAUACUGGAUUGCAAAUCCAAAGAUGCCGGGUAAUUUUGGCCGGGGCUU